AGCAGGAACAUGAGGAAAGGAUGACAACGCUGCAAUGAACGAGGUGUAAGGGUCAUUAUUGAUUCCUCCAUAUUCUGGACAAAUCAUCGUGGCAGGCAUUCAACCCUCGCAUCAGGUGGUCAGUCGAAGGACAUUUCCUCAACAAUGGUCUGGAUGAGGCUAUUAGUGCUGUCUCUAUUUCACAUGUCUCUGGUUGGGUCACAGCCCACCCAGAGUUCACAACAGGCAUCUAGCCCCCCUGCCCCCGCAGAAGAACAAUCUCCUUUGGGUGCUGGCAAUCUGCCUUUCCCUUGGAGCCGCCUUCGCCUGCCAAGGUACAUCAUUCCUCUUCACUACCAUCUCCUCCUGCACCCAAACCUCACAAGUCUCAGUUUCACUGGCUCGGUGCAGAUCCAGAUUGAUGUCCAGAACAACACAAACUGGGUUGUAUUACACAGCAAGGGUCUGCGGAUCUCCAAGGCCACCAUAGUAAACCAGAACCUCGCUCAUCUGUCUGAUCAGGUUCUUCCAGUUCUUCAUAACCCUUCCCAUGAGCAGAUUGGCAUUUUCUCUCCCAGGGUGCUCAGCAGUGGGCAAAAGUACUUCCUGCAUAUUGAGUUUGGGGCAGAAUUGGCCGAAGGCUUCGAUGGCUUCUAUAGGAGCGCCUACAGAACCAGCACAGGGAAGACCAGAACCUUAGCUUCAACUCACUUUGAGCCCACGAGUGCUCGCAUGGCGUUCCCUUGUUUCGAUGAGCCCAGCUUCAAAGCUAACUUCUCCGUACGGAUCAGGAGGAGUCCAGAGUACAUUUCUCUGUCCAACAUGCCUGUCGUCAAGACGCUUGAAGUAGACGAAGGCCUGCUUGAGGACCAGUUUGAUGCAAGUGUAAAGAUGAGCACUUACCUCGUAGCUUUUGUCAUCUGUGACUUCAAAUCUGUCACGGCAACGACAUCAUCUGGGGUGCAGGUGUCCAUCUAUGCCUCCCCUGAGACGUGGAUGCAAACUCGCUAUGCCCUGGAGGUUGCUGUCAAAAUGCUCGACUUCUACGAGGAAUAUUUCAACAUCCGCUAUCCUCUACCCAAACAAGAUCUGAUAGCCAUCCCAGACUUUGGGUCUGGUGCGAUGGAGAACUGGGGUCUGACCACCUACAGGGAGACCAGCCUACUCUUUGAUCCCCUCACGUCCUCCAUUUCUGAUAAACUCUGGGUCACCAUGGUGAUCGGACAUGAGCUUGCCCAUCAGUGGUUUGGUAACUUGGUGACCAUGGAGUGGUGGAACGAUAUCUGGCUGAAUGAAGGAUUUGCCAGAUACAUGGAGUACAUCUCAGUGGAGGCCACCUACCCUGACCUCAAAGUGGAGGAGUAUCUUCUGGACACCUGUUUUUCAGCCAUUGGUCAUGAUUCGUUGAACUCUUCUCGGCCAAUAUCCAGCCCAGCAGAGAACCCGACUCAGAUCAAGCAGAUGUUUGACGCAGUCUCCUAUGACAAAGGAGCAUGUGUCCUCCACAUGCUGCGACACUUUCUGACAGACGAUGUGUUCCAGCGGGGGAUUGUUCGAUACCUCCGCAAAUACAGCUACAGAAAUGCACACAACCAGGACCUGUGGGACAGCCUCGCCAAUACAUGCUCCGAGGAGGACUUUAUCUCAGGAAAACAUUGUUACGGCAGCCGCCAGGCCUCCAAGAAUGCCUACCUGUUUGCAGGGGAGCACAUGGACCUGACCGCCAUGAUGGACACUUGGAUUGUGCAGAAAGGUAUUCCUCUGGUAACUGUAACUAGGAAAGGGCCCCAUCUGCUGCUCCGACAGGACAGGUUCCUGAGGACAGUGCUGCCGUCUGACGGUCUCUGGUCCACUUUGCAACAGGGUUUCCUUUGGCACAUCCCCCUGACAUACAAGACAGAUGCUUCCAGCACCACCCACAGACACUUGAUGACAACACACACAGACAGUAUACAUAUAGGAGAGGAGGUCAGCUGGGUGAAAGUAAACACUGACAUGACAGGCUAUUAUGUGGUUCAUUAUGAGGAUGGCGGUUGGGACGAGAUGACAAAACUACUGAGGGAAAACCACACUGCUCUCAGCUACAAAGACAGGACUCACUUAAUACACAACGCCUUUCAAUUGAUCACGUCAGGUCAUCUGCCUCUCGAUAAAGGCUUAGACUUGAUUGGUUACCUGCAAUUGGAGACGCACACUGUGCCUCUUCUACAAGGACUAGGCUAUCUGGAGGCCUUUUACCGGAUGAUUGAGAAAAAGAAUGACUUUGAUGUAAUAAGCAACCUGGGGAUGUACAUCCUGCGAUUUUUCCGUUCGAUCAUUGACCGGCAGACGUGGAGCGACGGGGGCUCCGUGUCUGAGCGACGGCUGAGGUCACAGGUCCUGUCACUGGCUUGCCACCUGGAGGACCCUCCCUGUCUGGAGCGGGCAAAUCAGACCUUCAAAGACUGGCUUCAGUCCAACGGUACACUCAACUUGCCAACUGACGUGGCAGAGACUGUGUUUUCAGUUGGAGCUCGGGAUGACCACGGCUGGCGUUCACUCCUUCACACAUACAACAUCUCUCUCUUUGCAGCACAAAAAAGCAAAGUCCUGUUUGCUUUGACCUGCAGCAGAGACACAAACAAACUACACAAGUACAUCGACUCCCCCAAUACAUUUUUACACAGUUAAUGCUGUCACCAUGUGGCAGACAUGGGGUACUACAGCCAACAGAUAUCCAAUAUUUAUUGUGUGUCUAGUUACGGAUCUGCUAAACAUCUUCCAGUGGUGGCUCUUUGAGUGAUGGCAGAUGAUGGGGCGUGACUAGAGCAGGUUACAUUGUGUGUUCCUGUGAUCCAGACUGCUGGAGUUGGGUCUUGAAGGGAAGGUGAUUCGAUCCCAGGACCUGUCCUUUCUCAUCCUGAUGGUGGCCAGGAACCCGCGGGGACAUCGCCUCGCCUGGAACUUUGUCAAAAAGAACUGGGACACGCUGGUUCAAAGGUUCCAGUUGGGCUCCUCUUGUAUUGGAAACAUCCUCAUAAGCACCACAGGCCAGUUUUCAUCUCCAGAGGAACUCACUGAAGUGCAGCUGUUCUUUGAGUCCAUCAAAGAUCAGGCGUCUCAGCUGAGAGCAGCUCAGGUUGCCCUGGACAACGUGCAGAAAAAUGUCCGCUGGUUUCAGAGGAACCUCGAGACUCUGAGAAGCUGGUUGAACAAACAAUUGCAGUGAAAGACAGCAGAAAGAGAACCGGUGGUUAACGUUUUUAUUUGCUUAUAGUAAUGUGUUCGAUAUCACAGAAGAGCUGACCGUUUUGUAUAUAAUUAGUAUUUUGUUAAUUAGCAGGGGAUUUAUUCGUGAGACCCAGAUUGAGAGUGAUUAUAUGCUGGGUAGUCUACUUACUAUUCAUUGUACCUCCUGGCACCUUUGUGUGUGUUGCUGAAAAUUAUACUUGUGUGGAAUACA
Cyclopterus lumpus (lumpfish) is the source of this 3421-nucleotide RNA transcript. It is a transcript of the gene named endoplasmic reticulum aminopeptidase 2, with no coding region annotated. Lineage: Eukaryota; Metazoa; Chordata; Actinopteri; Perciformes; Cyclopteridae. The record is from RefSeq and is a predicted model, not a curated record. The transcript is spliced from 21 exons.